Molecule: ribosomal RNA, 253 nt
Filed under: uncultured bacterium
Lineage: Bacteria
Description: partial 16S ribosomal RNA
Rfam family: Bacterial small subunit ribosomal RNA
Source: RNAcentral
UACGAAGGGGGCGAGCGUUAAUCGGAAUUACUGGGCGUAAAGCGUGCGCAGGCGGUGAUGUAAGACAGAUGUGAAAUCCCCGGGCUCAACCUGGGAACUGCAUUUGUGACUGCAUCGCUGGAGUGCGGCAGAGGGGGAUGGAAUUCCGCGUGUAGCAGUGAAAUGCGUAGAUAUGCGGAGGAACACCGAUGGCGAAGGCAAUCCCCUGGGCCUGCACUGACGCUCAUGCACGAAAGCGUGGGGAGCAAACAGG